GUACUUCCAAUGAACAGGCAACAUUUAAUUCUAACUUGUAAUCUAGAAUUUUUGUUCCAGGAUUCAGUGUGGGGGAUGAACCAUAGCGCACUGCAUUCCGUCUUUCAGACCAAUCAGAGCAACAACCAGCAAUCCAACUUUGAAGCUGUGCAGAGUAGCAAGAGAAAGAAGAAACAGAAAAUGGUUCGAGCAGAUCCCAGUUUGUUAGGAUUUUCAGUGAAUGCCUCAUCAGAGCGGCUCAAUAUGGGAGAAAUAGAGACUUUGGAAGACUACUGAUCUUGUGUAGAUUGACCGGCUUUUCCUGUGUCUGUUAACCAUGGAUUCUCCACCUUUGGACACAGUACUUUCUCCAACUUGCAUUUUUCUUCACCUUGCAGUGACUUACAGAAUCAAUCAUCUCAGGCUGCUUCUUCUAGCCCCAGCAAAAUCUUUCUGUCCCACGUUGCGCAGUCAUUGUCAUCUCUGUCAGCCUAUAGACAUGUGGACUUUGCUGUCUCCUAGGUGGGUGGGAGAUAGGAUCCAUUCCCAAAAUGGUUGACUGCAGGCAGCAAGCGUUCACUGUGCUGUCAUUUCUUCUGCUGACUUAUCUGGAAAGUCUACUGGGAUUCUGCAAAUGGUAUCUUCCUUUCCCCGGUCAUGCUUAUCACAUCCAACUUGUGCAAUCAUGGAGAGAGUUUGUGGUUAACAGAGAUUGGUCAGAAUCAAAAUGCCACACAAAUACUGACUUCAGUGCUGCAUCAGGACAAGAGAUGCUCUCCAAAUCCAGGAGUUGCAGUCAUAAGCUAACUUUAGAACUGGCAACAGCAGGAGAGAGUGGUGUGUGACAUGGGAUGGACACCUCAAAGGUAAGCAUUUCAAACAUAGUCCCGAAUCCUGUGAGGCACUCAGCCAACAACCACUAGAGUGCACUCACCAGAUUGGGCAGGAUAACAUUUCCAAUAGUCCAGCUGUGCAUGCUCUGGGGGAGGAAUUUUUAGGCACAAAGUUUAGAGGGUGGAGCUGUUCCUGACUUCAGGAGGGAGGUCUGCUUGGAAAUCAGUGUCUGUGAGUCUCUGCAAAGUGUUUGCAGUCUGUGUGUGUCUGCAUACCCAUAUGAAGGGAUUUAUGAUCUGACUGGACAAAGUUUCAUUAUACUAGUGAAAUUUCCAAGCCUCUUCUACUUUGAAGAGUUUUUAAGAAUUCCUUCUGAAACACUCUUCCUGGAGGAAGAAAUGCCCCAUCACAGCGUUCUUCGCCUGGUCCUGCUGAUGCUCUCUGGAGUCGUGGUCCCUGCUGUUCUAACAGGUAAGCAUCUUUGUUUGAGAUUUACAGUUCCAAAGCACAGGGAAUCUGUUGCUUCUUAACCACCUCCUCUCCCUUUCCCCACAUCUCUUCACUCUUCCCAAAAGAUUUUCACAAGUAACUAGAGAGAAAGUACCACCCCUCAUAGUUCAGUAAGUCAUCUUUGGAAUUCAAGUAGCUAGUACAGGGGAAGGGUUUGAUCUGCAGCUUGAGACAGUGAAUUCUGUCAUCUCUCUUUAAAACGACUACAGGCCUAGUCUUAAAAUAAGAAUGACUGGGAGUUUGGAUUGCAAUGAGCA
Molecule: long non-coding RNA, 1580 nt
Organism: Gopherus evgoodei (Goodes thornscrub tortoise)
Lineage: Eukaryota; Metazoa; Chordata; Testudines; Testudinidae
Source: Ensembl